Drosophila innubila is the source of this 188-nucleotide long non-coding RNA. RefSeq lists it as uncharacterized. The record is from RefSeq and is a predicted model, not a curated record. Lineage: Eukaryota; Metazoa; Arthropoda; Insecta; Diptera; Drosophilidae. The transcript is spliced from 2 exons.
UUUUGACAGAUAGUUCAGUAUUAAGAAACAUGUUCAAGACACAAGUAUCUUUCAUAAUAAUAUUCGGCUUGCUGGUCGUAAGUUUGGCAUACAAAAUAGGCAGAGAAGUUAAAGAUGGUAUACCCGAUGGCUUAGAUACAGAGCCUUUUCUAAAGAUUGGUAAAGGAUUAUACUAUAUAGAAACAAAA